CUACGUAGGGGGCGAGCGUUGUCCGGAGUGAUUGGGCGUAAAGGGCGCGUAGGCGGCCCGGUAAGUCUGGAGUGAAAGUCCUGUUUUUAAGAUGGGAAUUGCUUUGGAUACUGUCGGGCUUGAGUGCAGGAGAGGUAAGUGGAAUUCCCAGUGUAGCGGUGAAAUGCGUAGAGAUUGGGAGGAACACCAGUGGCGAAGGCGACUUACUGGACUGUAACUGACGCUGAGGCGCGAAAGUGUGGGGAGCAAACAGGAUUAGAUACCCUGGUAGUCCACACUGUAAACGAUGAAUGCUAGGUGUAGGGGGUAUCGACCCCUUCUGUGCCGCAGUCAACACAAUAAGCAUUCCGCCUGGGGAGUACGGCCGCAAGGUUGAAACUCAAAGGAAUUGACGGGG
RNAcentral lists this ribosomal RNA (397 nucleotides) under uncultured bacterium. Its description in RNAcentral is "partial 16S ribosomal RNA". It matches the Rfam family "Bacterial small subunit ribosomal RNA", at positions 523 to 918 of the family's 1533-position model. The record is from RNAcentral.